RNAcentral lists this ribosomal RNA (433 nucleotides) under uncultured bacterium. RNAcentral's name for it is "partial 16S ribosomal RNA". It matches the Rfam family "Bacterial small subunit ribosomal RNA", at positions 29 to 507 of the family's 1533-position model. The record is from RNAcentral.
AAUGAACGCUGGCGGCAUGCCUAACACAUGCAAGUCGAACGAAAGCUUCGGGACUAGUGGCCUACGAUUUCGUCACGCGUGGGAACCUGCACUUAUGGUCGGACUAACUCCACGAAAGGGGUGCUAAUGCCGGAUAAGAGCUUCGGCCGAAAGAUUUAUUGCCUUGGGUUGGUCACGCGUUGGAUUAGCUGGUUGGUAGGGUUAAAGCCUACCAAGGGGAGGAUCCCUAACUUGUUUGUGAGGCUGAUCACCGACACUUGGACUGAGAGGCGGCCCAGAAUCUUACGGGAGGCAGCAGUGGGGAACAGUGGAACACGGGCGGAGUCCUGAUCGAGCAAGGCCCCUUGAGUGAUGAAGGCCUUAGGGAUGUAAAGCUCUUUUACCCGGGAUGAUAAUGACAGUACCGGGAGAAUAAGCUCCGGCUAACUCCGUG